CCCAGUCUUUACUAAAAUCAUCCAUACAUCAAUUGUCUUAAAAUCAUUUAUUUACUACACUAAGUAAUUAACAGAACAUACAAACAGUCAUUAUCGUCACAAAGGAUUGGUAUCGGAAUGCGCCCUACUGGCUAAACAGGCCGGUCGGCCUGUUGAACAAUGGAUCAUAAAAGGUCGGCUGAGAAGUUACACAGGGUUCAUUAAUAUUAACAAUUGACAAUUGAAGGCUCACUCAUUCGGGAACAAUUGCAAUCAGUAUAUAUUUACGCUCAGUGUGUCGUUCUGAUUCUUGUUGGAGAGUAGUUCUGUUGGGGAGUUUUGUCCGCGUUCUCUCUCCCUCUCUCGGUUAGAAUGGUUCUUUCAGAGCGACAUUCAUUAAUGUCGUCAUCGAAUGGUUGGUUCGUUGGUCUUCGCGUUCAAUGAUAUAAUUUACUUAGCUGCAGACUAAUAAUUAAUAUCAAAGACAUGUUCUUAUUCUGUCAGUAUCGAUAGUCUAAAAGUUAACCACGUGGUAUGGUUCACUUUCAGUAGAGGAAUUGGAAGGUAAAACCUAUUAGGCCUGGUCUGAAGAAAUGUAAAUCCGGGGGUGUUUUAUAGUGCCCAUAGAACAGCUUGUCAAAUGACGCCUGGUCCUGUAUGGGUCCCUGGGGGCGUGCCUAUGACUGAGUUAGAUUUGGUUACAGAAAUACAAUUCUAUCACAUUACAUCAGUACAUAGCAUCUCAAUGUCUUACAAAAGCUUUAUCCUUAUUAAUACAUUCCAUACCUUCUCCAGAACACAAAAUGUCGCUUGGCUUUCCAAUUCUAUGAGUUGGAAGAAUUUCCUGUGUCUCUCUAUGGGCCAUGUGGCCAGAGACUCUCCUGGAAUUUUAGAGUUUUUACGACCCUUUACACACAGAGUGGAUUGUGUGCAAAAGGGAGGGGUCAACUGUCCUCCCUGUACCAAAAGAGGCCAACGUCAUGACAUACCCCCCCUGGUGGUUUGGAUCUUGUUUAUCCUGCAAGUUACAAAUCAACAUAAAAUCAUGACCACGUGAUGUCCCAUUGGUAGAUCAUCGUUGCAG
This 1063-nucleotide long non-coding RNA is filed under the name Salmo salar (Atlantic salmon). Its description in RNAcentral is "lncRNA (ENSSSAG00000087120.1)". Lineage: Eukaryota; Metazoa; Chordata; Actinopteri; Salmoniformes; Salmonidae. The record is from RNAcentral.